ACACCACCCCUCCUGUGCAUUCAUCACCUCCUGUCGUCUCUCUCUUGCCGGAACAAAUCUGGAAGAAAGAACAUACCUGUAGUGGAUCAUCAACAUAGGCUAAGUUAAGCCAAAAUCUACACAGAUCGAAAAUAGGAACAAAAUCACGCAAAAGCAUGAGCCAAGAGAAACCCUAGGAAGAACUAGGAUAUGGUCGCAUGAACUAGUAGUCUAUGAUCACAGGAAAACUGAAAACUAGAUGCCCAGAUCAUAUUUUUGAAUUUGCAGAAAUAAACACACAACAGGGAUCAAAACAUGCUCAGGAAGCUAGCAAUUCCAUUUUGGGAAAACUAGUUAAAAACAUGCAAGGGGGAGGAUUGCUCCAGUUGAGAGAAAAUAUGGCUAUUUUCACAGACUUUGGAAACUGAAAGACCAAACACUGUUAAGAGACUUUGAUCUGCUAGUUUUAGACACUUUCUACUUGUUCUUAAAAACUACUCUGUACCUGUGAUUGAAGGACUGAAUUUAAGUAACUUUGGAAGUGUAAACUGCUAUGAUCUGAUGCUUGCUUACACUGAAUAUUGAUAGGCAUUAACAUAAGCACUAAAAAUUGAAAUUAACAGAAAAAUGACAAACAAAAAUCAGGCUAAAAACAUUCACGCUAGAAGGCACUCACACUAGUAGCAACAAACAAAACUGAUAACAUAUUUACAGUUCAGAACUGAAAGGACAAAUUUGUGACUGUUAGAUAAAAUUACUGGGACCUUCUUUGCAAAAUUACUCUGCGUUUAUUUACAGUUCAGAACUGAAUACUUGUUCGCAUUAAGAGAUAAUUUACUCAAAAUAUUGAGUGCAGGUGCCUACAAUCGAACCAAAUGCAAUGAAAUGCAGCAUCAAAGGACAGGCGAUGUACCUCAAGAAAGAUGAAGUUGAUUUCCUUAACAUAUGGCUAUCUAAUAGCAGAAAACAAUCCUGAAAACAAAAAACAUUAUCGAAAACAUGCUUUCUCUAACUAGUUUCCUGACAAAUAACAAAGUGGAUCAUACUCUUUUACUGAGCUACUUCAGGCGCAAAUGAUGUACAAGGCGUAGCUGCAUUGCAAAAAUACAUAGAAAACUAAAAUAGAGAAAAUCUACCGACACUAUUCAUCGGCUAAUGAUAUAACAUUGAUUUACUUUGUGCAGCAACAAUAUGUGGAGCCUGAGCCUGACAUGACAAACUACAUGGAAUGGCAUAGUACUGACCAGAACAAUGAAUUCAAAUAUGCAGAAACACCUCCUAACACCAACGGGGAAGAGAAAAACGGUAAGCAUACAAAGCAUACAAUAAAACUCGAACCUAGCAACUGUAGGUACACAAAAUAAAGCAAUUAUAUUGUGUUGCUUGCAGGCACAAAAAUGAUUUAAUUACAUUUGAAGUGGGUGCAGGGGCAUAUAAUAAAAAUCACAGUAAAAUAUAGCUGUAACAUUUAAACCUACUUCAAUUAGAAUUGUAUUACAGAAGAUUAACUAAAGAGCCUAACAAAUAAAAAACUAUCCAAAACACGCUGAAAAAAACAAACAGAAACUAACAUUAGCAUCAAGCAAGAAUACAUACAUAACUGGUAAAAACUAAUUUACUCCAAAUUACACUACAAUACAGCUAAAAUUACACCAACGAAUGCACUGUGAAUUCAUAUACAAGCCACAAUAAAAAUAAACAUUACAAGAAACUAAGAAAUGGUGGAGAAAAUCAUGACACUACGACAUGCUCAGGACAAUAUACUAUCCGCACCAACGGGGACAACGAAAACACAAAGCAACUGAAUCUCUAGUUCCUAAAAUGACAUAUCCAAACUUGAGAAAAUCAAAGCACACAUACAGGGCAGAGCGAUCUUACAUCAAGCUACAACUGAAGGAUGCAAAAUCCAAUGCCGAACUAGCGCAUGUAGCUAAAAAAGGGGAAAAGCAUGAACACUUACAUGCUAAAAAUGGGAAUUACAUACCAAAUCCACUAAGAAUUACAGUGUAAAUUCACUAAGAAUUACACUGUAAACCCCCUAGGAAUUACACUAUAGAAUCUACUAGGAAUUACACUGUAAAAUCCAGUGAGAACUACAGUGUAAAUCCAUUGGGAAUUAGAGUGAAAAUCCGUUGAGAAUUACAGUGUGAAUCCACUAGGAUUACUAGAUUACAUUCAAAAAGAUUAGAUGCAAUCACUGUUGUUACACUAUAGUAAUUACACUAAAAAGAUAAAGUAAUUACACUACGAAAUCCACUAAGAAUUACCAGACUACAAUAAAAAAGAUAUCAGAUCACAUAACGGAUAUGCCGUUAGUUACAGCGGCACCAGAUAAUGAGGACAUUCAGUGCAAUAUCACAGUCCCAAUCUCCUUGUUAAUUGUGAUUUGCAGUUCCAGUAGCAACAUAAAUGCCCAAGUUAGGACAGAGAUCACACUUAGUCCCAAAAUUGUGAUGUUCAGAUCCCAAAAUGGCCAGACAUGACACAUUCAGAAGUACAAGAGCACAAAACCUGCCCAACUCACACACCUAGAACAAUCAAAACAGAUCAAAAUGACCAUCUGCGCUCACCCAACCUAAACACAAACAAAUCCAAAAUUUGUACAGAAAAACCCUAAUCUGACUCUCACAUGGCAGACAGAAUUUAGAUGGAAAAUUCACUCCUAAACAGUAGAUCAAUGGAAAUUUUAUAACAUAGAGUAGUAAGUUACAAGGUUAAAUUCACAUUAAAAUUAGAUUAUAAGUACACUGAUAUUCAGUUUAAUGUAGUGUGCUGGAAAAAGUGGAAAAAUUCAGAGUAGACCACUGUAACUUACACAUUCCUGAAAUUACAAGCCAAUGGAACAAAACACUCAAAAAUUGCAGUGUAAGGUAGACUAAUAAAAGACUGAAACUACAGGCCAAAUCACCGUUACUUAUCUGAAAUAUUCAGUCCACAUCACUGUCCAAUUAACUCAAAGUUACAGUCCAAAUCACUAACCAAAACACUAUAAAUUACAGUCCAAAUCAUUGUUACUUAACUGAAAAAAUUAAAUCACAUCACUGUCCAAUUCACAAGUUACAGUCCAAAUCACUACCCAAAACACUGAAAAUUGAAGUCCAAAUCAAUGUUACUUAACUGGAAAAAUUCAGGACACAUCACUGUCCAAUUCAUUCACAGUUACAGUCCAAAUCACUAACCAAAACCACUAAAAAUUACAGUCCAAAAUCAUUGCUACUAAACUGAAUAAAUUGAGUCCACCAAUUACACAUCACGAAACUUAACCCACCAAUCCCAGCCAUCUACAUCAAAACACAGACCAGACGAACAACAGCCUACCAAACUAGCAGACGCCGAAGGGAUAAGUGUACUUCUAGUCUAAUUUUAACAUGAAUAUCAGUGAUCUACUCAAGGAACAACACAAACCACAUACAUCUACAAAAAAUAUCUGCGGGUAACACAUGCAACUACCACAAACAACAAGAUCCGGCCGAGAAAACUCUACACGUGGCUAACAAACAGAUCUGGGAAUGGCACAAAUCGACGAGAAUAC
RNAcentral lists this long non-coding RNA (3511 nucleotides) under Triticum aestivum (bread wheat). RNAcentral describes it as "long non-coding RNA (TAES_LNC010134)". The record is from RNAcentral. Lineage: Eukaryota; Viridiplantae; Streptophyta; Magnoliopsida; Poales; Poaceae.